UAGGGAAUCUUCGGCAAUGGACGGAAGUCUGACCGAGCAACGCCGCGUGAGUGAAGAAGGUUUUCGGAUCGUAAAGCUCUGUUGUAAGAGAAGAACGAGUGUGAGAGUGGAAAGUUCACACUGUGACGGUAUCUUACCAGAAAGGGACGGCUAACUACGUGCCAGCAGCCGCGGUAAUACGUAGGUCCCGAGCGUUGUCCGGAUUUAUUGGGCGUAAAGCGAGCGCAGGCGGUUAGAUAAGUCUGAAGUUAAAGGCUGUGGCUUAACCAUAGUAGGCUUUGGAAACUGUUUAACUUGAGUGCAAGAGGGGAGAGUGGAAUUCCAUGUGUAGCGGUGAAAUGCGUAGAUAUAUGGAGGAACACCGGUGGCGAAAGCGGCUCUCUGGCUUGUAACUGACGCUGAGGCUCGAAAGCGUGGGGAGCAAACAGGAUUAGAUACCCUGGUAGUCCACGCUGUAAACGAUGAGUGCUAGGUGUUAGACCCUUUCCGGGGUUUAGCGCCGUAGCUAACGCAUUAAGCACUCCGCCUGGGGAGUACGACCGCAAGGUU
Molecule: ribosomal RNA, 549 nt
Filed under: uncultured bacterium
Lineage: Bacteria
Description: bacterial SSU rRNA
Rfam family: Bacterial small subunit ribosomal RNA
Source: RNAcentral